GUUAGGCCCUUAACCAUCCUGAUUUGCCCAGGACUGAGAAGGUUUCCAGACACAGAGCUUUCAGGGUUUUGUUUUGUUUAAAAGAUUUUUUUGAUGUGGACCAUUUUUAAAGUCUUUAUUGAAUUUGUUACAAUAUUGCUUCUGUUUUAUGUUUUGGUUUUUGACCACAAGGCAUGUAGGAUCUUGGCUCCCCGACCAGGGUUCAUUGGAAGCUGAAGUCUUAACCACUGGCCCACCAGAGAAGUCCCAGAGCUUUCAGUUUUAAAGCUGGGAUAAUCCUAGGCAAACCAGGACAAGCUGUCACCCUAGGUCGAGGUGACAAUGGGGUAAGAGGUACCAGGACAUACGACUGCUGAUUUCCAAAUAUUUGGAGGGGCUUAUUCUCAACGGCCCUCAGGCAGAGCUGAACUCAAGGUAAGAAAGGCCCUGAGAUUCCCAGGGAGCUUUCUCAGGAGAAGGAACAGCACAGGGCAGGUGUGCAUGAGGAGGUGGUCAUGACUCCUGGGGUAUGAAAACCCUUUAAACACACACGCACCAGAAAAUUCAUCAUGGUCACCACCUCUGCAUUCAGUGAUGCUUUUAUUAUAUUAAUAUAUUAUAUAUCAUUCUACAUAUUAAUAUAUAUUAUUCUAUUACAUUAAUCACAACAGCAUCUUGAUACAUUUGGAAAGUAGGAGACAAGAUUUAUCCUUUCUAUACAGAAUACUCGGCUCCCAGCUCCCAUGCAAGUGCUCCAACCCCCUCGCCACUUCCGAGUUUGCCAUCCUCAGGGGAAAGGGUGAGGCUGGAUGUUGCUUGAGAUUCCUUUCAACUCCAGGGUUCUGUGUGUCCUGGGCUUGGCAUCAUGCCUGAGCUACAGUACUGCUCAGGAAAUGCUGGUUACCACUUCUCAUCAGCACCAUCAGUGGCAGGAAGCAUGCUCAUGUCCUUUCCCAAUCACUUCUUUUCCUUCCCAGACACCAUGCUGCCUGAGGCAGAGCCCUCGCGGGUAACUGAGUAACCAAAAACCUGACAGAGGCCUCGCUGAGUAAGGGGUUUGUUUUCUCACAUAAGAGGAAGUCUGGAGAUCAGCAGCUGCAGGGAAGUCAUUCAAGAGGCAGGCUCCUUCUUUCUUCCUGCUCCAACUUCCUCAGUGUGCAGCUCUUGUCGCAAAGUGGCUGCUGCAACUCCAAGCCUUGCACCUGAAUUCCAGGAAGGAAAAAAGGGAAAUGGAAGGGCAUAAGAGCACCCCAGCUGAGCCAGACCCCUUUUAAAAGCCAUUCCUGGCAGCCACAUGCAGAAACUCCUUGGAUGUCAUUGGUCAGUACUGGGUCACACAGCUACUGCUGGCCGCAAGGACAUUGCCACGGCAUUUAGGGGACACAUUGCCACCCUGAAAGACACUGGGGUCUGCUUAGUAAGGGAGAAAAGGAGAACAGAUAUUGGGUAGGCAGAGAACAGUGUCUGCCUCAGCCACCUCUGGGCAUAUACACUUGUCACCUCCCUGGCUGUCCCUGCUCCUUGGGGAACUAAAAAAGCACCAGUCCUAAUGGCAGGGCCGGAGUCUGCAGCCCCAAUAGGAGGGCAAGAAUGUCAAGAAGAGAGUGAGUACAGGCUGCCAUGCUGUGUCUCGGCAGGGAGCUCCGUGACGCCCAAAGCAGAACUGGUCGGAGUUAACCCUGGGCCCAGGGAAGUUUAGUUUGUGACAACAGCACUGUUGGAAAUGGAAAAAGGAUUUGGGUAGCCCCUGGCGCCACUCCAGCCAGCCUCACUGCAGCCCCAUGUUUGCUUGCUCAGAAACCCCUUCUGCCUGGAACAGCCUGCCCCUAGAUGUUCUCCCAACUUGCUGUCUCUUCUAAGCCCACCACAAAUCCAGCCUGUCUUGAAUAGUUUCCUGCCUUGAGGAUCAACCCACUGCAUCAUUACCUUCUAAGAAACACAACCAACCUCUGUAUGUAUAUAAAUUGUCUAGGCAAUUGUGUUAUCUAUGUAUUACUCAGAUGAUUUACUUAUCAGCACUUUGUUCUCACUAUUAGAUGCAUGCCCUGUAAUGUACCUGUGGAAACAAUGUUUACAGAUCAGCGAAUAGAAUGUGAAUUCAUUCUCAGAAUGGCAAACAUCCUGUCUUAAGGGAGUGAUGGAAAAACAAAAGGCCAUGCCAAGUUCACCAGAAUAUGUAUAACUGGUCUACAAUGAUGUUGUGUUCUUAACUAGCGUGACAUGCCAAAAAUGGGGGCUUACUUUGGAAAAUUGCAAAAUCCAAUACAUGCAAUACUGACUGUGUUCAUUUCAUUACAUUUUAUAAAACUGUCUGUUGGCAAUUGUGUGUCAGAAUGGGCUUGUCAAAUCUUUGCAAGAGGAGGAGUUUUGUUUUUUUUUUCCUCAAAGCUACACAAUCUAAAUUACUUUUAGUUUCAAAUGUGAAACAUGCUGGAUUUUUAAAGAAUUGUUUCAUGCCCACAGGUAAGUGGAGCAGAGAAUUGCAUAACAGUUCUAUUCAUCUGCUCAAGCUUGGCAAUAACUCCGCAUCAAGGGUGGUCCAGCAGAGAGGCUGUCCACACUGUGUGCUUUUGCUAAGACCAGUGUUGAGAUCUGUAUGUAAUUUGAGUACAGGCUUCUGCUUUAGAAGCCACCAGUUUCUGGUUAGCCUAAAUGCUACUCACACAGUGUCCUAAGGCUGUCGAGUUCCUCCUGCACCAGAGUUGGCCCACGGGGACCUAAGUCCACUCAGGUUUAUUGAGAUGUGGAGAGAGUGCCCCCCACAAUACAACUAAGACUUUAUUACAUUCUCCCAUGGCCCCCAUGUUAACCAGAAUUAAGUGCCACUUUCACUAGUGGUGCCAGAGGCAGCCUGCCACUCUCUUCCAAAAAUUAAAUCUUUCAAUUUAGUACUAAAGAUUGAGUGCUUCCUUCAGUAUUCUUAUCUCGAAAUAAGAUAAUCCCAACUUCCCUAACCACAAAGUCAUAAGCCUUAAUUAGCUUUGUUGCUGUAACCUAAACCCCUCCAGUCCAUCUUGAAUCUCUCUGGUUGUGGCACACACAAGAUGGUGCUUGGGGAAAGAAUGGGCCAGACCUAAGUGUGAACCCCUUCCCUGACCCCUCUAGGGAUGCAACCUUCGGCAAGUCACUUACCUCUCUCUGGCCCCCAGUUUACCACUCUAAAUUGUGGGGAUUAAAUGAGAUAAUUCUAUUACAGAAAGUACCCAGCAUUGUGUCUGAAACACAGCUCCCCAAAAUACUACUUUCUCUUUCUUUCCCCAAAUCAUUAUUGUAGUGAAAGUCAGUUGUCUAUAACUACGUGUCUAAUGUGAUCAUCACCAUCCACAAGUGGCUAUGUAUAUUUAAAUCAAUUAAGAUUAAAUAUGAUUUAAAAUUCAGUUCUUUGCACUAACCAGAUUUCAAGCAUUAAGUAUGUAGCUAGUGGCUACCAUAUUUGGACUAUGUGGAUGUAGAACAUUUUCAUCAGAAAGUUCUAUUGGAUUGUGCUGGUUACCGUAUUCACUUGGAUUCAGGCUUCCAAAAACAUCCAUGUCAGUCUCUACCUACACUGUGUCAUGUGAGAUCUUUCCUCGGUAACAGGAAUAAAUGCAACCACUUUGUUUCCUAUCACAUCUCUUUUUUUAAAAAAAAUUUUUUUGGUGUGGACAGUGUUUAAAGUCUUUAUUGAAUUUGUUACAAUACUGCUUCUGUUUUUUUGUUUGUUUUUUUAAUUUUUUUUUUUUUUUUGGCUGCGUUGGGUCUUUGUUGCUGUGCGUGGGCUUUCUCUAGUUGCGGUGAGCGGGGGCUACUCUUUGUUGAGCUGAGCAGCAUGGGCUCUAGGUGCGCGGGUGCAGUAGUUGUGGCAUGUGGGCUUAGUUGCUCUGCGGCAUGUGGGAUCUUCCCGGACCAGGUCUCAAACCCGUGUCCCCUGCAUUGGUAGGCGGAUUCUUAACCACUGCGCCACCAGGGAAGUCCCCUGCUUCUGUUUUAUGUUUUGUUUUUUUGGCCGUGAGGCAUGUGGGAUCUUAACUCCCUGACCAGGAAUCAAACCCGCACCCCCUGCAUUGGAAGUGAGGUCUUAACCGCUGGACUGCCAGGGAAGUCCCUCACAUCUCUUUUAGAAAGAACCUUGUCUCCAGUUGUGUGAGUCUCACUAGAUUCAGCUAGAAACGCUCUCUCCUUGCCCUCACAGAUUCAGAAAACAAUUGUCAGCUGUCCCACCGCAACCUAGACCUACAUCUAGUGCCCUUGGCACUGAAGCCUCUGCCUUGCCCUUGAGGGUCUGGCGGGGUGUGGGCAUGACACUGAAAGCUCCACUGGUCUUGUUCCCAAAGCAAAAGGCCAUCUUUGGGGACUUGCUGCAGCUGGUGUGAGCCUCAGGGAGCUUAUUAUGGGCCCUGCAUUGAGGACACGGGGAAUUCCCCCAUGAGUCCCAAGCACCCUCAAAGGAGAGAUCAAGAAGCCAAAUGUCUAGGACAGCAGAUGGAGUGAGCAGGGCUCUGUUCUUUCCAUCACCAGUAAAGUGUC
Molecule: long non-coding RNA, 4485 nt
Organism: Physeter macrocephalus (sperm whale)
Lineage: Eukaryota; Metazoa; Chordata; Mammalia; Artiodactyla; Physeteridae
Exons: 3
Source: RefSeq, a predicted model, not a curated record